GUUGGAGUUCACUCUCUUGUAGAGUUUUGCUUCUGAGAUGUGAUCUUCAGAGAUGGUUGCAUUUUCUGUGGGAAAUCUGCCUCUUUCUUAUGCAAGGCGAGAAAGGCAGUGGGAAGUGGCUUCUCACAUACUGUCCUUCUUCAGAGGCAUGCUCUAGACUUUAUGAGACUAGAAUGACAUUUAACCUAUUCUUCAAGCAAGCUUUACCACAGGAAGGUGAUGGCAGCCUGCAUGAGGCAGGAAGUUUCUGCUGUUGGGUUGGAGCCAUCAGCAUCAUCUGCUUCAAAAACUUCCAUGUAUAUGAUUUGGCCCUAAGCAUCUAAAGAUGGAUUGACCUAUCAUGGGAACAAAUGAGACGUGAGAGAGAAUAAAAUCCAUGUGAGGAUGUUCUGCAUUCUCUAGAGUUCCAGCUGUUCAGCCCUCAAAUUCCCUCCUUGCUUGAGACUGAAAGCACCUGAAAAACAGUAUUUUAAUCUUGUCUGCACCUCAUGAGUUUCACUGAAUCAACUCAGAAAUCACCCUCCUCAAAAAGCACUUAGAGGUGACUGAAUCACUCUCCAGAAGGAAAUCCCCAUUGACUGCACAGAGGCUGUUCCACCCACAGACCUUUCACUUAGAUGGCAGAAGAGGGACUGACUGACAGAACGAUGUCUGACAUGGAAGUAUGUAUGAAGGAAAAAUUUGUUACUGAAUUCUUCUAUGCAGAAAAAAAUUGCACCCACUGUCAUCACCAAUGCUUGCUGAAUGUUUAUGGUGGCCAAACAGUGAAUGUGAGGAGUUUCCAUGAACAUAAAUAGGAAGAAUUGAUUCUAGAGUGACAUACAUAUAUGAAGCCCAAUACAAUUUCCAUUCAUUAAAUGUGGCCCAGGAAGCAGACUUCCUAUGAUGAGGUCCGUGAUAUCCUUUUCUCAUUAUCAGGGGAACAGAAAUUGUAAUUAUCUGAGCAUUGCUUCCUCUUCUUUUGCAAGCAGGCAAGGGUAUCAUUUUAUAUUUAUUCAUAUGCUGGUUAGUUCUGUCUCAGAUGGGCUUCCUAAGUAAAGCACUAAGUGGCUUCCUACAUGUUGUUGGGUGAAAUUCUACCUUUAUUUUUUUAAUAUUCUUGUAUGUUAAGAGCAAUAAAAAUUUCUGCCAAACAAUAGCCUGUUUUGAAGAUAAUGUUAUAACAGUUAAAUAAUUUUAAAGAAUUGCAUAUUAAAUGGCUUAGUAAAAAUCAUUAUAAAACAAACCACAGAGUAAGAAUUGCCUGUAUCUACUUAUUUGAAAAAUGAGAAGACAAGUUUUGUUUCUGUUGUGUUGAUCCCUUUGCUUUGAAUGAAUAAUUGGGUGUAUCUAUGAAUAAAUAUGUAGCCAACAUUAUGGAACAAGAUUUUUGGCACUUGUGAUUUACUGAAGAAUUUUUGAAGUUGCUUUAGCAGCUCCACCUCAGUCCUGUCCUGAGACCAUGUGAGAAGAGGACAGCUGUGUGAAAAACAACACCUUCAGUAAAAACUUCAUAAGUUCAUGACUGACAACAGGACUGAAGUUCACGGAUUAAUUCAGAAACUACUUCAAAACUUGCCCUCAAGAUACAGGAGAAGAGUGAAAUAGUUUGAGUUAACAUUUUCUGUUAUACUGCCUACAGAUGCCCUAAAGCAAUUUAAUAUGUUAAAAUGAGCCAGAAAUUGGAAGUUAAAGUGAAGACCAUGUACUAGCAGGCUGGUAGAUUUCUUUCUCUCUCAUUUUUGGCUAUUUUGAUAAGUAAAAUUGCUUAACUUAUUACACUUGUUACACAUGUGCUCUUUAUAACACUUUAAUAGGUAGAACAGAACAGAAGCAUACUAAUUCUCCAAAAUUUUCGUAUUUAAAUGGCACUCUGAUCUUAUUUAUACAUUUUUUAAAAAAAAAUCUUUCAUCAUAGAUUUAAAAUCCCCUCCUCUUGUUUAGAAUUAUUUCAUGAUUCAGGAAAAGAGUAUCACAUUGUUCUACCUUCACAAUCCUUACUUUUAUCACCAAGACAGAUUUGUUUCAUAAAAUAUCAUUCCUUUUUUAUGGACUGCUUUCAUAUUAACUAAUAUUAGCUAAUACUAACUGCUUCCUUUUCACAGAUCAGAAAUAGUUACAUUUUUGUUUUCAAACUGACAGAUGCUUUUCCCAAAACACAUUCAGAAAGCGAUGUUUGUUUUCCCUGUAAGAUAAGCCUCAUAUGUUGAAACAAAAUAGAUAUUCUCAUAGUUUCCCAGCUUGUUACUAGCUUCUCUAAUCUGUCCUUUUUUUUUUUUUCUAAUCUUCAUUAAACUGAUAAAAGUUUUGAAAACCAGGUGCUAUAUUAAUUGUCAGUUGACUCUAUGAUCUAAUUCUUCUUACUAAACAAAACCCAAAAAACCUAUGUUGUUGUUAAUUUAUUUGUAGGAAACAUGGGAUUUGAUGGUGUGAACCACUGAAGGGGAAAGGUCGAAUAGUCUCCUUACUGAAGGACUGUUUCAACUUGAUAGUCCUAGUAAAGAGUUUAUAUCAGAAAUCUUGUUGUUCUGUUUACACUGUAUGAAGCCAUGGACUAGCUUAGUGGUUUGUUUGUGGUAGUCAGCUCUUUGGACAGAAAUUCAUGUACAAAAUCUUUUUCUUUUAACUUGAAGAAAAGUAGCAAAUGAAGAAUUAGAGACUACAGAUUACUGAAGUUAAUACUUGGAGAUUUUACCUGAUCUGUUUUUAUCCAGCUCAAUGUAUAUGUUUUUAAAUAUGAAUGGAAGAAUAAGCUUGUAUUCUUUACUCCAUUUUCUGCUUGUACUGAAAAUUAGUUUCAUGAGUGAUCUUAAUAACCAUUAUAGAUUGUAGGAUUAGAAAUAAUGAAGGAAAAUUCUGUUUUUAGUAGCUCUAAUAUAUGCAUUUUCAGUUUAGCAAAGCACUACAUAGGCCUAAAAAAGUUAUCUCUUAUUUGAAAAACAUUUUCCAAAAAAACCCUCUAUAGUGUUUUCAGAUUAUUUAGUUGCAUUUGUAUAUUAUGCUCUUACUGCUCACUUACUGUUAUUUCAAUCCUAAUUCAUUAAAAACACCUGGAGUAAAAUCCAAUAUAGCAGAAACAGCACUCAAGGAAUAACUUAUUUACUCGCUUAUGACUGGAGUACAGUUUUUGAAUUCUCAACAGGUGAAAUCACUAUCCUUGGCAGGUAUGUUGAUGACCUUACAUAAAGUGUGCUUUGAGCAGUGCUAGGCUGUCUUUCAUGUGUGCCUACAGCUGAAACUAUCCCUGUAGGUAUGCUUCAGUCACUGCCUUCUCUGUCAAACAGAGCCCAAGGCUCACUCAGUAGCUACAGGAAAUGUUACAUAUAGAUGAAUUUCCAGAGAGUUCAGGAAAAUGCACUGUGACUUAUGUUUGCUGGAUACUAAAGUUUCUACGACACGCAAAACAAAAAGUGCAACUAUGGAUUUAACAGUGAAAAUUCACUCUGGCUCUUUA
Molecule: long non-coding RNA, 3433 nt
Organism: Lagopus muta (rock ptarmigan)
Lineage: Eukaryota; Metazoa; Chordata; Aves; Galliformes; Phasianidae
Exons: 8
Source: RefSeq, a predicted model, not a curated record